GGAGGGGUGGCAGAGUGGUCGAAUGCGGCGGUCUUGAAAACCGUUGAAGGUUUGCGCCUUCCGGGGGUUCGAAUCCCCCUCCCUCCG
RNAcentral lists this transfer RNA (87 nucleotides) under Actibacterium naphthalenivorans. It matches the Rfam family "tRNA". Rfam says of the family: Transfer RNA (tRNA) molecules are approximately 80 nucleotides in length. Their secondary structure includes four short double-helical elements and three loops (D, anti-codon, and T loops). Further hydrogen bonds mediate the characteristic L-shaped molecular structure. tRNAs have two regions of fundamental functional importance: the anti-codon, which is responsible for specific mRNA codon recognition, and the 3' end, to which the tRNAs corresponding amino acid is attached (by aminoacyl-tRNA synthetases). tRNAs cope with the degeneracy of the genetic code in two manners: having more than one tRNA (with a specific anti-codon) for a particular amino acid; and 'wobble' base-pairing, i.e. permitting non-standard base-pairing at the 3rd anti-codon position. Lineage: Bacteria; Pseudomonadati; Pseudomonadota; Alphaproteobacteria; Rhodobacterales; Roseobacteraceae. The record is from Rfam by way of RNAcentral.